This 555-nucleotide long non-coding RNA is filed under the name Olea europaea subsp. europaea. The record is from RNAcentral. Lineage: Eukaryota; Viridiplantae; Streptophyta; Magnoliopsida; Lamiales; Oleaceae.
AAAUAACAUAUAAUAUUUUUCAAAAUUUAGUGGUCAAAACUUGACAUUUUAAACUUUGACAAUAGUUGUAACAAUUAACUCCUCUUCCUCCUCUACUGACUGGCAUUACCCCUACUGAUUUGUGGUGUUCAGUCGUAUGCAUCGAUAUAUACUCUUUGACUUGGAUCUAUAUACAGCUGAGAAUUUCCCACUUUCUGCACCACAUCAAACCUAAUGUCGCGUCGAGAAGACCGUAAUUACGACUCGAAACGUCACCGUUCGCGGUUCGACCGUGAAGCCAGGUAAACAAAACUCCACCCUUUUCUUGUAUUUUUUAUAUUUACAUUUUCAUUUUCUGCCUGACGAUCGAUUUUUUUUUUUUUUUUCAUUUUUGUCAAGGUCUCUGCUUUUGGAAUGAAAUUAGAUUUCUUCGAGACCGGAUUUAAGAAUUUUCUUUUAUUAUCCUAAAACUUAGGGUUUUGUUACAAUAGCCAUGAUGACAUGAAUGCGAUUAAUUUAUAAACUUGUAAGUUAUUGUUAUUUGUAAAUAUGGAGGCUCGGAUUGAUUCUNCCAUA